This 1357-nucleotide ribosomal RNA is filed under the name Bysmatrum granulosum. RNAcentral's name for it is "LSU rRNA". It matches the Rfam family "Eukaryotic large subunit ribosomal RNA", at positions 51 to 1421 of the family's 3401-position model. The record is from RNAcentral. Lineage: Eukaryota; Dinophyceae; Peridiniales; Peridiniaceae.
UGGAGCUCAACAAAUUGGCAUACCUCAGUAAUGGCGAAUGAACUGGGACAUGCUCAGUGCUGGAAUGGAGGCGUCAGCCUCUAACUGUGCUGCUGUGGUGUACAGCUUGCAAGGAUGUAGGUUUGAGCUUCUUGGAAAAGGGCGCCGCUGAGGGUGAGAGUCCCUCAUUUCACCUACUGUCCUGCAGGAAUGGCGUAUCUUCCAAGAGUCGCGUUCUUUGGGACUGGAGCGCAAUGGGGUGGUAAGCUGCAUCUAGAGCUGAACAAACGCUUGAGGCCAAUAGCGGACAAGUACUGUGAGGGAAAGGUGAAAAGGACUUUGGAGAGAGAGCUAAAAGUUCCUGAAAUCACUGUGGGCGAAGUGAGUUGGGCUGCUAUGUUGGUGAGAUUGCUUUGUGGCAUGUGCACUGGCUCUUGCACUCACUCACGUGAGAUCUUGGGGUGAGCGUGCAGCUUGCGCGGUGUGUCUCAUCAGGAAUGUCGUCAGCAGUUGCUCCUCAAACACGUCCACAAGCCUUGCCAGCCGACUUCGUGCCAGCUGCGUGCUUGCCCUGUUUGACUGCAAAUUGCUUGACGCCUUUUAGGACAACCCAACUCAUCCCGUCUUGAAACACGGACCAAGGAGUCUAGCAUAUGUGCAAGUGUGCCGGUUUGCAGAAAUCUGGCUGCAAAGUCAAGGGCGACUGCCAGGCAAUGCGCACUGGCAACCAACUUAGCACCAGGGCAAGGUUUGAGUGUGAGCACAGGUGCUAGGACCCGAAAGAUGGUGAACUAUGCCUGUGCAGGGCAAACUCAGGGGAAACCCUGAUGGAGGCAUGCAGCGCUACUGACGUGCAAAUCGUUCGUCAGACAUGGGUAUAGGGGCGAAAGACUAAUCGAACCAUCUAGUAGCUGGUUCCCUCCGAAGUUUCCCUCAGGAUAGCUAGGGUAGAGCAGUUUUGUCAGGUAAAGCCAAUGAUUAGAGGCAUUGGGGAUGUGCCAUCCUUGACCUAUUCUCAAACUUUAAAUGGGCAAGAGCCAGUGGUUGCUUCAUUGAACCCUUGGGACAAGUGGGGACUCUAAGUGGGCCAAAUUUGGUAAGCAGAACUGGCGAUGAGGGAUGAACCUAAUGCUGACUUCUGGUGCCCAACUGCUAGCUUAUUGGAUACCACAAAGGGUGUUGGUUCAUUUGAACAGCAGGACGGUGGUCAUGGAAGUCGAAAUCCGCUAAGGAGUGUGUAACAACUCACCUGCCGAAUGGACCAGCCCCGAAAAUGGAUGGCGCUGAAGUAGGUGACGCAUAGUCAGCCAUUGUUGUGCUCCUGAAAGCAAUGAUGAGUAGGAGGGCAUGGGGACUUGUGGCGAAGCUCCUGCGCAAG